Molecule: unclassified non-coding RNA, 214 nt
Filed under: Hevea brasiliensis (rubber tree)
Lineage: Eukaryota; Viridiplantae; Streptophyta; Magnoliopsida; Malpighiales; Euphorbiaceae
Source: RNAcentral
GGUUGACUGCUCAUCUCCAUCAGCCUUAUGAGAACUGUUAUUUCGUGGCUGAUUGAAAGGCCUUUAAAAUUUGAAGCACUGGUGAAGAAUUCCUUUGGAUUCUUUUCAUAAGAGGGAAAGAUAUAUCAUCAUUCACAAGCUUCUUGCUUGCCACGUUAUCUUUUUUUAAUGUAAUUGUACUCAUUUUGCAGUUAGGAAUUUCAUGAAUUCCUAU